UAUUGCACAAUGGGCGCAAGCCUGAUGCAGCGACGCCGCGUGGGGGAUGAAGGCCUUCGGUUUGUAAACUCCUUUCGCUAUCGACGAAGCCACUUGUGGUGACGGUAGGUAGAUAAGAAGCACCGGCUAACUACGUGCCAGCAGCCGCGGUAAUACGUAGGGUGCAAGCGUUGUCCGGAAUUACUGGGCGUAAAGAGCUCGUAGGUGGUUUGUCGCGUCGUCUGUGAAAUCCCGGGGCUUAACUUCGGGCGUGCAGGCGAUACGGGCAUAACUUGAGUGCUGUAGGGGAGACUGGAAUUCCUGGUGUAGCGGUGAAAUGCGCAGAUAUCAGGAGGAACACCGAUGGCGAAGGCAGGUCUCUGGGCAGUUACUGACGCUGAGGAGCGAAAGCAUGGGUAGCGAAC
This 404-nucleotide ribosomal RNA is filed under the name uncultured bacterium. RNAcentral describes it as "bacterial SSU rRNA". It matches the Rfam family "Bacterial small subunit ribosomal RNA", at positions 362 to 773 of the family's 1533-position model. The record is from RNAcentral.